ACAAUGAUACUUCAGUAGCCGAAAGGCGCUGCCUGCGGAGUACCCGGGGGAGGUGAAAUUCCUAUGG
This 67-nucleotide non-coding RNA is filed under the name unclassified sequences. The record is from Rfam.